Molecule: non-coding RNA, 27 nt
Filed under: Rattus norvegicus (Norway rat)
Lineage: Eukaryota; Metazoa; Chordata; Mammalia; Rodentia; Muridae
Source: RNAcentral
UUCUUGGACACCAGACACAAGAAGCCA